Molecule: non-coding RNA, 103 nt
Organism: Nicotiana sylvestris (wood tobacco)
Lineage: Eukaryota; Viridiplantae; Streptophyta; Magnoliopsida; Solanales; Solanaceae
Source: Rfam
ACGAGCCACAUGCAGGGAAACUUGCACGUGUGGUUCUGGCCGGGGACCCCGGUAUACUGUACUAAUAUGUGUAGGUUCCCGUAAUNAAUUUUCUACCAGUUAU